Molecule: ribosomal RNA, 165 nt
Filed under: uncultured bacterium
Lineage: Bacteria
Description: partial 16S rRNA
Rfam family: Bacterial small subunit ribosomal RNA
Source: RNAcentral
UAGGGAAUCUUCCACAAUGGACGCAAGCCUGAUGGAGCAACGCCGCGUGAGUGAAGAAGGUUUUCGGAUCGUAAAGCUCUGUUGUAAGAGAAGAACGUGUGUGAGAGUGGAAAGUUCACACAGUGACGGUAACUUACCAGAAAGGGACGGCUAACUACGUACCAG